RNAcentral lists this ribosomal RNA (434 nucleotides) under uncultured Lachnospiraceae bacterium. RNAcentral describes it as "partial 16S ribosomal RNA". It matches the Rfam family "Bacterial small subunit ribosomal RNA", at positions 341 to 792 of the family's 1533-position model. The record is from RNAcentral. Lineage: Bacteria; Bacillati; Bacillota; Clostridia; Lachnospirales; Lachnospiraceae.
ACGGGAGGCAGCAGUGGGGGAUAUUGCACAAUGGGGGAAACCCUGAUGCAGCGACGUCGAGUGAGCGAUGAAGUAUUUCGGUAUGUAGAGCUCUAUCAGCAGGGAAGAAAAUGACGGUACCUGACUAAGAAGCUCCGGCUAAAUACGUGCCAGCAGCCGCGGUAAUACGUAUGGAGCAAGCGUUAUCCGGAUUUACUGGGUGUAAAGGGAGCGUAGACGGUUUGCCAAGUCUGAUGUGAAAGGUGGGGGCUCAACCCCCAAACUGCAUUGGAAACUGGUAGACUAGAGUGUCGGAGAGGUAAGUGGAAUUCCUAGUGUAGCGGUGAAAUGCGUAGAUAUUAGGAGGAACACCAGUGGCGAAGGCGGCUUACUGGACGAUAACUGACGUUGAGGCUCGAAAGCGUGGGGAGCAAACAGGAUUAGAUACCCUGGUA